UACGGAGGGUGCAAGCGUUAUCCGGAUUCACUGGGUUUAAAGGGUGCGUAGGAGGGCAGGUAAGUCAGUGGUGAAAUCCCCGAGCUUAACUUGGGAACUGCCGUUGAUACUAUCUGUCUUGAAUAUUGUGGAGGUGAGCGGAAUAUGUCAUGUAGCGGUGAAAUGCUUAGAUAUGACAUAGAACACCAAUUGCGGAGGCAGCUCGCUACACAUAUAUUGACUCUGAGGCACGAAAGCGUGGGGAUCAAACAGG
This 253-nucleotide ribosomal RNA is filed under the name uncultured bacterium. RNAcentral describes it as "partial 16S ribosomal RNA". It matches the Rfam family "Bacterial small subunit ribosomal RNA", at positions 524 to 776 of the family's 1533-position model. The record is from RNAcentral.